AUGUUCAGCUUCUAUAGCAUCUAUACUAAAAUUGCAACAGUACAGAAAUUAGCAUGGCUCUUGCACAAAGAUGACCCACAAAUACAGGAAGCAUUCCAUAUUUCU
Small nuclear RNA from Bison bison bison, 105 nucleotides. The record is from Ensembl. NCBI's taxonomy places the organism in Eukaryota, Metazoa, Chordata, Mammalia, Artiodactyla, Bovidae.